Molecule: long non-coding RNA, 540 nt
Organism: Mandrillus leucophaeus (drill)
Lineage: Eukaryota; Metazoa; Chordata; Mammalia; Primates; Cercopithecidae
Exons: 2
Source: RefSeq, a predicted model, not a curated record
UAAAAGGAUCUCCCAGGGUGAGUGAGGAGGCGGGAUCGGACCCUGGCAGUCUGAUGGCAACACCUGUGUUCCUCUGCGCUGGGCCAUGGACGACAUUACACACCUUGCCACUCCCAUGGCCCUGUGUGUUCCAGAUAUUUUUAAAUAUUGGCUGUAAGGUUGAGCGCGUCAGGAUAUGCCGUUUUGGCUGUGUGCAGAUGGAGGCAGUGGCUGGAGUGAAUGAAGGACAAUUGCUGGCAACCGGCAGAAGCUGAGAAACAGGGAACAGGCGCUCCUCCAGAGCCUCCAGGAGCCAGGCCUUUGGACACCUCGAACAUGGGCUUCUGGGAGACCACAUGUGUCUGCUGUAAGCAACCCAGACUCUGGCAGUUUUUAGAGCCACCCCAGGAUGCUCAUCCACACCUGUCUGACAAGGGCAAGCUCCAAGGAAGGGAUUCUUUGGGUAUCUACAUUGUUUGAAGAUUUUACAAUAAUCAUUUAUUCUUGCAUGCCUAAUCAUCGUUAGCCAAUACAGGUAAAAUAAUAAAGAAAUGACCCACA